RNAcentral lists this ribosomal RNA (117 nucleotides) under Esox lucius (northern pike). Lineage: Eukaryota; Metazoa; Chordata; Actinopteri; Esociformes; Esocidae. The record is from RNAcentral.
GCUUACGGCCACACCUCCCUGAGCACGCCCGAUCUCGUCUGAUCUCGGAAGCUAAGCAGGGUCGGCCCGGUUAGUACUAGGAUGGAGACCGCCUGGGAAUACCAGGUGCUGUAAGCC